RNAcentral lists this ribosomal RNA (278 nucleotides) under uncultured Oscillospiraceae bacterium. Its description in RNAcentral is "partial 16S ribosomal RNA". It matches the Rfam family "Bacterial small subunit ribosomal RNA", at positions 511 to 788 of the family's 1533-position model. Lineage: Bacteria; Bacillati; Bacillota; Clostridia; Eubacteriales; Oscillospiraceae. The record is from RNAcentral.
GCAGCCGCGGUAAUACGUAGGAUGCAAGCGUUAUCCGGAAUGACUGGGCGUAAAGGGUGCGUAGGCGGUUUAGCAAGUUGGUAGCGUAAUUCCGGGGCUCAACUUCGGAACUACUACCAAAACUGCUAGGCUUGAGUGCGGUAGGGGUAUGUGGAAUUCCUAGUGUAGCGGUGGAAUGCGUAGAUAUUAGGAGGAACACCGGAGGCGAAAGCGACAUACUGGGCCGUAACUGACGCUGAGGCACGAAAGCGUGGGGAGCAAACAGGAUUAGAUACCCC